This 173-nucleotide microRNA precursor is filed under the name Triticum aestivum (bread wheat). RNAcentral describes it as "MIR2118 microRNA precursor family". It matches the Rfam family "MIR2118 microRNA precursor family". RNAcentral also lists the same sequence under 1 other name. Lineage: Eukaryota; Viridiplantae; Streptophyta; Magnoliopsida; Poales; Poaceae. The record is from Rfam by way of RNAcentral.
AAUAGGAAGAGGAAGAAAAGAGGGCCUAAGAGCAAUGGGCAUGGGAUAAUAAUGGAAGGCUAAAGAUCUCGCCUCUAAGUUCCUUGCGUAAAAUGGAUAGGGGUCAUGGUUCAGUUAUCAUGAUGCCUCUCAUGCCUAUUGUUCUUUGGCACUCUUUCCUCUUCCUUUUGGGG